GCCUGGGUAGCUCAGUCGGUUAGAGCACGAGAUUCAUAUCCUCGCGGUCGGCAGUUCAAGUCUGCCUCCAGGCA
RNAcentral lists this transfer RNA (74 nucleotides) under Hyella patelloides LEGE 07179. Its description in RNAcentral is "Hyella sp. LEGE 07179 tRNA". It matches the Rfam family "tRNA". From Rfam's summary of the family: Transfer RNA (tRNA) molecules are approximately 80 nucleotides in length. Their secondary structure includes four short double-helical elements and three loops (D, anti-codon, and T loops). The record is from Rfam by way of RNAcentral. Lineage: Bacteria; Bacillati; Cyanobacteriota; Cyanophyceae; Pleurocapsales; Pleurocapsaceae.